This 253-nucleotide ribosomal RNA is filed under the name uncultured bacterium. Its description in RNAcentral is "partial 16S ribosomal RNA". It matches the Rfam family "Bacterial small subunit ribosomal RNA", at positions 524 to 776 of the family's 1533-position model. The record is from RNAcentral.
UACGGGGGGGGCAAGCGUUGUUCGGAAUCACUGGGCUUAAAGGGUGCGUAGGCGGCCAUGUAAGUGGGGUGUGAAAUCCCUCGGCUCAACCGAGGAACUGCGCUCCAUACUGCAUGGCUUGAGGGAGACAGGGGUAAGCGGAACUGAUGGUGGAGCGGUGAAAUGCGUUGAUAUCAUCAGGAACACCGGUGGCGAAAGCGGCUUACUGGGUCUCUUCUGACGCUGAGGUACGAAAGCUAGGGGAGCGAACGGG